UGCCUCCUCGUUAUUCAAACCACUGCUCUCUCUCCCCACCCUAUUUGUGCAAAUCUCGCCAAUCCUUUAAGUCUCAAAUCAAAUCCCACUUCCUCAUUCAAGAUUUUCCUGAGUCUUCUAGCUUUGAAAUUCACCUUUCCUCCUCUGAUGCUGUUGUGUUCCGUUGCAAUUCAUAAUUUACUUCCUCUUCAUGUGGUCAUGUUUUAUCUUCCCAACUAGAAAGGCAACUUCUUAAAGGUGAAAGCCAACUCAGCAACGUCUCUUUAAGGAGAUAAUAUGAAGAGGCAUCAGCUUUUGUUCUGAUACCAUCAACAAUGAUCCAGAUGAAAAGGAAUGUGGUUCAACCUCCAUAUUUCUCAUAAAGAGAAAACUGAGGUCCAGAGAAGUGAAAUGGCUUAUCCAGAGGCAGUCAGGAGCCUUGUUUGCUGCAUGUGUGCCAGAACCUCGGAGCAGGAAACAUGCCAUCAGAAUGAAUGUGUCUGCCUGGCAAAGGCAGGGCAGAGCGGAAUCGAUUACAGAGAGGAAGGCGGGCAGUUGAAUGGGAUGCUGCCUAAAGAGAACCCAGCAGAUCCGUUCACUCUGCGAGCCAGUCUUGACCUUCUGCGCCUUAGGACCAUCUCCCUAGGACCACCAGCAUGAAGUUCAUGUGUCAAGAAGAAGUCGUCUGUGUUCUCCAAAAGCAACUUCAUCACCAGUUUUGAAAUAAUUCAAAAACAUUUGCUCUCUUCAGAUCAGCUUCCUUCAAGCCAAUGUUUAUUUAAUUCAUAUGUCUGAAGUUUUCUGGCUCUUGAAAGUCAACAUUCUUGGUCUCCUCCCCUGUCCCAGCAUGUUUAAGUUGAGAUGGUGUUCUUUCUUGUUUCCUUAAGAGCUCUUGCCAAGUCACUGGGCAUGUCUCUCUUGUUCAUCUUCUGAAAAUCUUCAAUAAAUACAUGUCCUGAUUCUCCCA
Molecule: long non-coding RNA, 946 nt
Filed under: Sus scrofa (pig)
Lineage: Eukaryota; Metazoa; Chordata; Mammalia; Artiodactyla; Suidae
Description: lncRNA (ENSSSCG00070020475.1)
Source: RNAcentral